UGGGGAAUUUUGGACAAUGGGGGAAACCCUGAUCCAGCCAUGCCGCGUGUGCGAAGAAGGCCUUCGGGUUGUAAAGCACUUUCGGCCGGAACGAAAUCGCGCGGGUGAAUAUCCCGCGUGGAUGACGGUACCGGAAGAAGAAGCACCGGCUAACUACGUGCCAGCAGCCGCGGUAAUACGUAGGGUGCGAGCGUUAAUCGGAAUUACUGGGCGUAAAGGGUGCGCAGGCUGUCCCGCAAGUCAGGCGUGAAAUCCCCGGGCUUAACCUGGGAAUGGCACUUGAAACUACGGGACUGGAGUGUGGCAGAGGGAGGUGGAAUUCCACGUGUAGCGGUGAAAUGCGUAGAUAUGUGGAGGAACACCAAUGGCGAAGGCAGCCUCCUGGGUCAACACUGACGCUCAUGCACGAAAGCGUGGGGAGCAAACAGG
Molecule: ribosomal RNA, 429 nt
Filed under: uncultured bacterium
Lineage: Bacteria
Description: bacterial SSU rRNA
Rfam family: Bacterial small subunit ribosomal RNA
Source: RNAcentral